Mycena latifolia is the source of this 98-nucleotide non-coding RNA. The record is from the annotation of a GenBank genome assembly. NCBI's taxonomy places the organism in Eukaryota, Fungi, Basidiomycota, Agaricomycetes, Agaricales, Mycenaceae.
GACCUAGUGGCGCACGGCGCGCACCCACCUUGCAUUGUUAUUAUCUUCAUCAGUGCACUUGCACGUGGGAACACCUGGUUCGACUCCAGGCUGGGUCC